UGGGGGAUAUUGCACAAUGGGCGAAAGCCUGAUGCAGCGACGCCGCGUGGGGGAUGAAGGCUUUCGGGUUGUAAACCUCUUUCGCUAUCGAACAAGGCCCGCUUAGGGUGGGUUGAGGGUAGGUGGAGAAGAAGCGCCGGCUAACUACGUGCCAGCAGCCGCGGUAAUACGUAGGGCGCGAGCGUUGUCCGGAAUUAUUGGGCGUAAAGGGCUUGUAGGCGGCUUGUUGCGCCUGCUGUGAAAACGCGGGGCUUAACUUCGCGCGUGGAGUGGGUACGGUCAUGCUUGAGGGAGGUAGGGGGGACUGGGAUUCCAGGUGUGGCGGUGGAAUGCGCAGAUAUCUGGAGGAACACCGAUGGCGAAAGCAGGUCACUGGGGCAUUACUGACGCUGAGGAGCGAAAGCAUGGGUAGCGAACAGG
This 420-nucleotide ribosomal RNA is filed under the name bacterium. RNAcentral describes it as "partial 16S ribosomal RNA". It matches the Rfam family "Bacterial small subunit ribosomal RNA", at positions 355 to 776 of the family's 1533-position model. The record is from RNAcentral.